GAUGAACGCUGGCGGCGUGCCUAAUACAUGCAAGUCGAGCGAACUUUUGGGAGCUUGCCCCCACUAGUUAGCGGCGGACGGGUGAGUAACACGCGGGUAACCUGCCUGUAAGACUGGGAUAACUUCGGGAAACCGGAGCUAAUACCGGAUAACAUUGAAGACAACAUGGCCUUCAAUUAAAAGGUGGCUUUUAGCUACCACUUACAGAUGGACCCGCGGCGCAUUAGCUAGUUGGUGAGGUAACGGCUCACCAAGGCGACGAUGCGUAGCCGACCUGAGAGGGGGAUCGGCCACACUGGGACCGGGGCACGGCCCAGACUCCUACGGGGGGCAGCAGUAGGGAAUCUUCCGCAAUGGAGGAAAGUCUUACGGGGCAACGCCGGGUUGGCGAAGAAGGCCUUCGGGUCGUAAAGCUCUGUUGUUAGGGAAGAACAAGUAGCGUUCGAAUAGGGCGAUACCUUGACGGUACCUAACCAGAAAGCCACGGCUAACUACGUG
This 498-nucleotide ribosomal RNA is filed under the name uncultured bacterium. RNAcentral describes it as "partial 16S ribosomal RNA". It matches the Rfam family "Bacterial small subunit ribosomal RNA", at positions 28 to 507 of the family's 1533-position model. The record is from RNAcentral.